RNAcentral lists this ribosomal RNA (465 nucleotides) under uncultured bacterium. Its description in RNAcentral is "partial 16S ribosomal RNA". It matches the Rfam family "Bacterial small subunit ribosomal RNA", at positions 28 to 507 of the family's 1533-position model. The record is from RNAcentral.
GACGAACGCUGGCGGCGUGCUUAACACAUGCAAGUCGAACGGUGAACUCCGCUUUCGGGGGGACCCGUGGCGAACAGGGGAGUAACACGUGGGCAACCUCCGCUCAGCACUUGGAUAACACCAAGAAAUUGGGGCUAUUACCGGGUAUAGCCGCUGACCGCAUGGUGUGGGGGGGGAAGGUUUUUUCGGCUGGGGUUGGGCCCGCGGCUUAUCAGCUGGUUGGGGGGUAAGUGGCUAACCAGGGGGACGCCGGGUGGCCGGCCUGGGAGGGUGACCGGCCACACUGGGACUGGGACAGGGCCCAGACUCCUACGGGGGGCAGCGGGGGGGAUUAUUGCGCAAUGGGCGAAAGCCUGACGCAGCGACGCCGCGUGGGGGAUGACGGCCUUCGGGUUGUAACCCUCUUUCAGAAGGGACGAAGCGAAAGUGACGGUACCUGCAGAAGAAGCACCGGCCAACUACGUG